This 270-nucleotide ribosomal RNA is filed under the name uncultured archaeon. Its description in RNAcentral is "partial 16S ribosomal RNA". It matches the Rfam family "Archaeal small subunit ribosomal RNA", at positions 477 to 747 of the family's 1478-position model. The record is from RNAcentral.
CAGCACCUCAAGUGGUCAGGAUGAUUAUUGGGCCUAAAGCAUCCGUAGCCGGCGCUGUAAGUUUUCGGUUAAAUCUGUACGCUCAACGUACAGGCUGCCGGGAAUACUGCAGCGCUAGGGAGUGGGAGAGGUAGACGGUACUCGGUAGGAAGGGGUAAAAUCCUUUGAUCUAUUGAUGACCACCUGUGGCGAAGGCGGUCUACCAGAACACGUCCGACGGUGAGGGAUGAAAGCUGGGGGCACAAACCGGAUUAGAUACCCCAGUAGUCC